Camellia sinensis is the source of this 510-nucleotide non-coding RNA. NCBI's taxonomy places the organism in Eukaryota, Viridiplantae, Streptophyta, Magnoliopsida, Ericales, Theaceae. The record is from RefSeq and is a predicted model, not a curated record.
GACUUGAAACUUGAGGUUUUCCUGAAUUCUAAAAGAUUUUGUGUGCAAGUAAUUAAUGGUUUUAAUUUCUUUCUUUGUUUUUUUGGCUUAAUAAUUAAUGGUUUUACUUACCUUGAUUGACAAUCAUGUAUUUCUAAAGGCUUUUUAAUGUUUCCUGCAAAAUUAAUUAUGGUUCCUGUAUAGUACUGAAUUUUGAAUUUUGGUAUUGGCUUGUUUUUUUUUUUUUUGAUCUGCUGGUAUUGGCUUGUUUGCUAUUACAGAGGUUCAUUUACUUGCUAAAUUGCGUCAAAUUUUCAUCAAUUACUGAUAUUUCUUUUUAAAUUACUUGAGAGCUAGUAUCGGAGGAGGUAUCAAAGCUGGCAGAGUAUUGUUACCUACGAGAACGUGAAGUUGCUCGGAAGUACCGUAAUAUAAACAGCAUGCGAAGAACUAUGAAUUCCCGAUUUAAUACCAUAAUGUCUAAGGCAAAGAUUUUGCUAUCCUCAAUAGCAGAUAUGCGAGAUGUUGACG